GAAGCAGAGAAGACAGCUGUUUUGAAACGCAGGCUAAAUAAGUGGUUAAAUGCACAUUUUCUAAGGGCAAACUUCUAGGGUUUAUACCCUACUACAGUAGACAGAAAAUUGAGCUUUACUUUCCUCACGCACAAAAUGGAGAUAACAGCGCCAUUGAGAAUAUUAAAGGAGACAAACCAGGUAAACUCAGAAGAGUGUCUGGAAUACAAUAAGCACUCAGUUUAUGUUAGCUAUUAUUAUAAUUUCUGACCUAGGGUUGUGUUUUACUCGGUAGGUCUAACAGAGGGAAAAGGGUGCAAGAGUGUAAUGGUUGAAGUGAUGGAAGCUGACUGGGAGAGAGAACAGCCAAGGGAUUGGAGUUCUUGAAGCUGAAGUACAGAUGCACUGGAAGUCAUUCAGCUAAAAAGCUAGAAAAAUGGGCAAAGAGCAGAAGAGUUUUUUAAGUUUUUAAGGGUGUAGCUGCUGACAUAAAUAAUUAUAAGAUUCAGAGACUGGGUGGCUUCAUGAAAAGGUAAAGGUCACUAAAUUUGAGGUCAAGCAGUUGAGAGCCAGGAUAUUGGUUUAGUUAACCACAUGGAAUUUGAAGUGACCGUCAUAAAGGUGGGACUUGGGGAGAAGAGGGUAACUAUAAGCCAGGUGCCAAAGUCUUCAGUGAAUGAAAUGAAAUGAAUGGGAAUGGCAGGGACAGGAAGUUCAGAAAAUAAUAAAGUCAUAUUGUAUAAGCACAUCUAAAGAAGGAUGCCAGCUGCUCUCCCCAGAUCCAACUGAUGCUAGCUGGUGGGAAAAGACCACAGACCCAAGGCUGCUAAAUAUCUUGCGAUGUUUAAGAGAGUAUAAUGACAAUACAGCAACCUGACCUAUCCAAAAUGUUACUACUGCUCCUGCUGAGAAAUACAGCCAUCAAACUGUUUAGAGUGCCUUCUCAAAGAAGCCUGGCUAUUUCACAUGUCAUGGCAUCUCUGAAGCCCUUUCGAAGGAUCAUUUGUGUCCUCUCUCUACCCCUACACAUACGUCCACCACAGUAUGGCUCAUACUUUAUGUAUUUUUUUUUUGAUUGAUUGAUUGAUCGACUGGAGACAAGGUCUCACUCUGUCACC
This 1097-nucleotide long non-coding RNA is filed under the name Homo sapiens (human). RNAcentral describes it as "non-protein coding lnc-CCNJ-2:1". Lineage: Eukaryota; Metazoa; Chordata; Mammalia; Primates; Hominidae. The record is from RNAcentral.